AGAUUGAACGCUGGCGGCGUGCUUAACACAUGCAAGUCGAUCGGUAACGCGGGGGCAACCCUGGCGACGAGAGGCGGACGGGUGAGUAACGCUUGGGAAUCUGCCCAUCAGCGGGGGGACAACCCGGGGAAACCCGGGCUAAUACCGCAUACGCUCCACGGAGGAAAGCAGGGGACCGCAAGGCCUUGCACUGAUGGAUGAGCCCAAGCCGGAUUAGCUAGUUGGCGGGUAACGCCCACAAGGCGACGAUCCGUAGCUGGUCUGAGAGGACGAUCAGCCACACCGGAACUGAGACACGGUCCGGACUCCUACGGGAGGCAGCAGUGGGAUAUGGACAUGGGGCAACCUGAUCCAGCGACGCGCGUGGUGAGAGCUGCGGUGUAAGCCUUCGGUAGGGACGAAGCUCUCGACCUAACGACGUCGGAGUUGACUUAACCACAAAGAAGCACCGGCUAACUCUGUGCCAGCAGCCGC
Molecule: ribosomal RNA, 474 nt
Filed under: uncultured soil bacterium
Lineage: Bacteria
Description: bacterial SSU rRNA
Rfam family: Bacterial small subunit ribosomal RNA
Source: RNAcentral